AGAGCGAACGCUGGCGGCAGGCCUAACACAUGCAAGUCGAGCGCUCGUAGCAAUACGAGAGCGGCAGACGGGAGAGUAACACGUGGGAACGUACCCUUUGGUUCGGAACAACACAGGGAAACUUGUGCUAAUACCGAAUAAGCCCUUACGGGGAAAGAUUUAUCGCCAAAGGAUCGGCCCGCGUCUGAUUAGCUAGUUGGUGGGGUAAUGGCUCACCAAGGCGACGAUCAGUAGCUGGUCUGAGAGGAUGACCAGCCUCAUUGGGACUGAGACACGGCCCAAACUCCUACGGGAGGCAGCAGUGGGGAAUAUUGGACAAUGGGCGCAAGCCUGAUCCAGCCAUGCCGCGUGGAUGAUGAAGGCCUUAGGGUUGUAAAGUCCUUUAACGGGAAGAUAAUGACGGUACCCGUAGAAUAAGCCCGGCUAACUUCGCGCCAGCAGCCGC
Molecule: ribosomal RNA, 445 nt
Filed under: uncultured bacterium
Lineage: Bacteria
Description: SSU rRNA
Rfam family: Bacterial small subunit ribosomal RNA
Source: RNAcentral